Molecule: ribosomal RNA, 155 nt
Filed under: uncultured bacterium
Lineage: Bacteria
Description: partial small subunit ribosomal RNA
Rfam family: Bacterial small subunit ribosomal RNA
Source: RNAcentral
AGAUUGAACGCUGGCGGCAUGCCUUACACAUGCAAGUCGAACGGCAGCGCGGGAGCAAUCCUGGCGGCGAGUGGCGAACGGGUGAGUAAUACAUCGGAACGUGCCCAAUCGUGGGGGAUAACGCAGCGAAAGCUGUGCUAAUACCGCAUACGAUC